Molecule: long non-coding RNA, 1155 nt
Filed under: Ficedula albicollis (Collared flycatcher)
Lineage: Eukaryota; Metazoa; Chordata; Aves; Passeriformes; Muscicapidae
Description: lncRNA (ENSFALG00000023187.1)
Source: RNAcentral
GGGGGGGGGGGGGGAGAGGGAGUUGGGGGGGUCAAUGGGUGGUCAGGGAGGGUUGUGGGGUUUUGGGAGAUCACAGACACUUGGUCGGACCGGGCAGUAUGGGGUGGUUAUGGGGUUUGGGAAGGAAGAGAGUGCCGGGGCGUUACGGGGUUCGGGGUCUGGCAUGGCGGAGUUUGGGGGGAUCGGGAGGGACUGAGGGGUCUGGGGCAGCAGGAGGUCCCGUACGGGGAUGGGCUGCGGGGCUCAGCCCCCUUCCCUUCCCGCUCCGCUCCUCAGGACAGCUCGGGGUACGGGGAUGGGCUGCGAGGCUCAGCCCCUUUCCCCCCCGCUCCGCUCCUCAGGACAGCUCGGGGCUGCGGCUCUGGAAGCGCCGCUGGUUUGUGCUGGUGGAUCUCUGCCUCUACUACUACCGGGGCUGAACAUCCCGGGAUGCGGACGUACUGCCUGGGGGCUGAGACCCCCGAGGAGCUGCAGGCCUGGGUCUGUGCCCUGCGCCGGGGGGCAUCGCCCCUUCCCGGGUGAGUGCGGUGCGGGGGCACAGGGGGUCCGUGGGGGGCACAGAGAAGGCCCGGGCUUCGAGGGGUUGGGGGGGGGGGGGGGGGGGGGGGGGGGGGGGGGGGGGGGGGGGGGGGGGGGGGGGGGGGGGGGGGGGGGGGGGGGGGGGGGGGGGGGGCACAGAGGAGGCCCGGGCUUCGAGGGGUUUGGGGGAUCCCAGGCGGCAGGAGGAGGUUGGAGAUUUUGGGGAGGGAGUCACAGAGGGUUUGUGGGGGUCACAGAGCUUUGGGGGUCUUGGGGGCAGUUAACCCUUUAACUCCUGUUUUCUUCCCGCUUCUCAGCUCCCCCCGUUCCCUCUCCCAGCAGACACUCCAGGAACCCCGGGGUGCGGAUCCUCCCUCUCCCGCACUGCCCACCCACUCCCCAGAUGAGGGGCUCGGGGGCCCCCCAGGCCCUCCACUGCCCCACAGCGAGGUGAGAUCUGGUGGGGAGGACGCGGGGGGAGGAAUUGGAACCCUGCUGGAUAGGGGGAAAUAUGAGGGGGGCAAGUACUGGGGUGACUGUGGUGCAGAUCUGUGCGGUGAGGGGGGUUAUGGGGCAGAGCGGGGGGGGGGGGGGGGGGGGGGGGGGGGGGGGGGGGGGGGGGGGGGGGGGGGGGGG